GACGAACGCUGGCGGCGUGCUUAACACAUGCAAGUCGAACGGAAAGGCCCUGCUUUUGUGGGGUGCUCGAGUGGCGAACGGGUGAGUAACACGUGAGUAACCUGCCCUUGACUUUGGGAUAACUUCAGGAAACUGGGGCUAAUACCGGAUAGGAGCUCCUGCUGCAUGGUGGGGGUUGGAAAGUUUCGGCGGUUGGGGAUGGACUCGCGGCUUAUCAGCUUGUUGGUGGGGUAGUGGCUUACCAAGGCUUUGACGGGUAGCCGGCCUGAGAGGGUGACCGGCCACAUUGGGACUGAGAUACGGCCCAGACUCCCACGGGAGGCAGCAGUGGGGAAGAGUGCACAAUGGGCUGAAGCCUGAUGCAGCAACGCCGCGUGCGGGAUGACGGCCUUCGGGUUGUAAACCGCUUUCGCCUGUGACGAAGCGUGAGUGACGGUAAUGGGUAAAGAAGCACCGGCUAACUACGUG
This 468-nucleotide ribosomal RNA is filed under the name uncultured bacterium. Its description in RNAcentral is "partial 16S ribosomal RNA". It matches the Rfam family "Bacterial small subunit ribosomal RNA", at positions 28 to 507 of the family's 1533-position model. The record is from RNAcentral.